CCUACGGGUGGCAGCAGUGGGGAAUAUUGGACAAUGGGGGCAACCCUGAUCCAGCCAUGCCGCGUGUGUGAAGAAGGCCCUCGGGUUGUAAAGCACUUUCAGUGAGGAAGAACGCCUGGUGGUGAAUACCCAUCAGGAAAGACAUCACUCACAGAAGAAGCACCGGCUAACUCCGUGCCAGCAGCCGCGGUAAUACGGAGGGUGCGAGCGUUAAUCGGAAUUACUGGGCGUAAAGCGCGCGUAGGUGGCUUGAUAAGCCGGUUGUGAAAGCCCCGGGCUCAACCUGGGAACGGCAUCCGGAACUGUCAAGCUAGAGUGCAGGAGAGGAAGGUAGAAUUCCCGGUGUAGCGGUGAAAUGCGUAGAGAUCGGGAGGAAUACCAGUGGCGAAGGCGGCCUUCUGGACUGACACUGACACUGAGGUGCGAAAGCGUGGGUAGCAAACAGGAUUAGAUACCCCGGUAGUC
This 465-nucleotide ribosomal RNA is filed under the name Vreelandella stevensii. Its description in RNAcentral is "partial 16S ribosomal RNA". It matches the Rfam family "Bacterial small subunit ribosomal RNA", at positions 338 to 795 of the family's 1533-position model. The record is from RNAcentral. Lineage: Bacteria; Pseudomonadati; Pseudomonadota; Gammaproteobacteria; Oceanospirillales; Halomonadaceae.